This 1518-nucleotide ribosomal RNA is filed under the name human gut metagenome. Its description in RNAcentral is "bacterial LSU rRNA". It matches the Rfam family "Bacterial large subunit ribosomal RNA", at positions 1429 to 2925 of the family's 2925-position model. The record is from RNAcentral.
AUCAAGCUUAUCGAUACCGUCGCUAGCGCACAGGGGUGACACGGAAUGGGAGCCGGCCGCGGAGGUGGUUUUCCGUGGUCAAGCACGCAGCCCGUCCCAUAGGCAAAUCCGUGGGACGCAUAGGGUGAGGUGUGAUGAUGGGCGUCUUUGAUGGCGCGAUAUCCGGUGGUCCAGGCCGUCGAGAAAAGCCUCGGCGCGAGGGGCGUCGCCGCCCGUACCCCAAACCGACACUGGUGGUCAGGUAGAGAAUACCAAGGCGAUCGAGCGAAUCCUGGUCAAGGAACUCGGCAAAUCACUCCCGUGCCUUCGGUAUAAGGGAGACCCCCGGGCGUGAAGAGGCUUGCCCUCGGAGCGUUGGGGGGUGGCACAGACCAGGGGGUAGCGACUGUUUACCAAAAACACAGGUGCAUGCGAAGGCGCAAGCCGCUGUAUAUGCACUGACGCCUGCCCGGUGCCGGAAGGUUAAGAGGAUCCGUCAGCCCCUUUUGGGGUGAAGCGGUGAAUUCAAGCCCCGGUAAACGGCGGUGGUAACUAUAACCAUCCUAAGGUAGCGAAAUUCCUUGUCGGGUAAGUUCCGACCUGCACGAAUGGCGUAACGACUUCCCCACUGUCUCGACCAGGAGCUCGGCGAAAUUGCAGUACGAGUAAAGAUGCUCGUUAAGCGCAGAAGGACGAAAAGACCCCGGGACCUUUACUAUACCUUGGUAUUGGCGUUAGGCGCGGAUUGUGUAGCAUAGGCGGGAGGCUUCGAAGCAUGGGCGCCAGCCCGUGUGGAGCCGCAAGGUGAAAUACCGCUCUGUUCUCGUUUGACGUCUAACCUCGAACAGUCAUCCUGUUCAGGGACAGUGCCUGGCGGGUAGUUUAACUGGGGCGGUUGCCUCCCAAAGAGUAACGGAGGCGCUCAAAGGUCCGCUCAGCCCGGUUGGCAAUCGGGUUUCGAGUGUAAUCGCACAAGCGGGCUUGACUGCGAGAACGACGGUUCGGGCAGGGACGAAAGUCGGAGAUAGUGAUCCGGUGCCGGCGCACGGGCGCGGCAUCGCUCAACGGAUAAAAGGUACCCCGGGGAUAACAGGCUGAUCAUUCCCAAGAGUCCAUAUCGACGGGAUGGUUUGGCACCUCGAUGUCGGCUCGUCGCAUCCUGGGGCUGGAGCAGGUCCCAAGGGUUCGGCUGUUCGCCGAUUAAAGCGGCACGCGAGCUGGGUUCAGAACGUCGUGAGACAGUUUGGUCUCUAUCCUCUGCGCUCGUUGGAAUCCUGAGGAGGCCUGCCCAUAGUACGAGAGGACCUGGGUGGACGGACCUCUGGUAUGCCGGUUGUCGCGCCAGCGGCAUGGCCGGUUGGCUACGUUCGGGAGGGAUAACCGCUGAAAGCAUCUAAGCGGGAAGCCUGCUCCAAGAUUAGGAUUCCUUGGCACUUCGGUGCCUGUAGCCCGCAUGUUGAACACGUGUUCGAUAGGCCGGAGGUGGAAGCCCCGCGAGGGGUGGAGCCGACCGGUACUAACGGGCGAACGCGGCACACU